UAAGGAAUAUUGGUCAAUGGAGGCAACUCUGAACCAGCCAUGCCGCGUGCAGGAAGAAGGCCCUAUGGGUCGUAAACUGCUUUUGAACAAGAGAAAACCCCGGUACGUGUACUGGGUUGAUAGUAUUGUUAGAAUAAGCAUCGGCUAACUUCGUGCCAGCAGCCGCGGUAAGACGAAGGAUGCAAGCGUUAUCCGGAUUCAUUGGGUUUAAAGGUGCGUAGGCGGACUGAUAAGUCAGUGGUGAAAUCUCUCGGCUUAACCGAGAAACUGCCAUUGAUACUGUUAGUCUAGAGUACAGAUGAUGUGGGCGGAAUAUGACAUGUAGUGGUGAAAUACUUAGAUAUGUCAUAGAACACCGAUUGCGAAGGCAGCUCACAAAACUGUAACUGACGCUGAGGCACGAAAGUGCGGGGAUCAAACAGGAUUAGAUACCCAUGUAGUCCCUGAGCGGGCUGGCAAGGCGCAU
Molecule: ribosomal RNA, 466 nt
Filed under: uncultured bacterium
Lineage: Bacteria
Description: bacterial SSU rRNA
Rfam family: Bacterial small subunit ribosomal RNA
Source: RNAcentral